This 253-nucleotide ribosomal RNA is filed under the name uncultured bacterium. RNAcentral's name for it is "partial 16S ribosomal RNA". It matches the Rfam family "Bacterial small subunit ribosomal RNA", at positions 524 to 776 of the family's 1533-position model. The record is from RNAcentral.
UACGAAGGGGGCUAGCGUUGUUUGGAAUUACUGGGCGUAAAGCGCACGUAGGCGGAUCGAUCAGUCAGGGGUGAAAUCCCAGGGCUCAACCCUGGAACUGCCUUUGAUACUGUCGAUCUGGAGUAUGGAAGAGGUGAGUGGAAUUCCGAGUGUAGAGGUGAAAUUCGUAGAUAUUCGGAGGAACACCAGUGGCGAAGGCGGCUCACUGGUCCAUUACUGACGCUGAGGUGCGAAAGCGUGGGGAGCAAACAGG